UUACCGCUUUUCGUGUUCACGGCAGACCUUGAUUUAAUAACAAUACAAUUAAGGCACGCGGUGAAUGCCAAAAGAGGAAUC
This is a non-coding RNA of Salmo salar (Atlantic salmon), 81 nucleotides long. The record is from Rfam. NCBI's taxonomy places the organism in Eukaryota, Metazoa, Chordata, Actinopteri, Salmoniformes, Salmonidae.